Molecule: ribosomal RNA, 460 nt
Filed under: uncultured bacterium
Lineage: Bacteria
Description: partial 16S ribosomal RNA
Rfam family: Bacterial small subunit ribosomal RNA
Source: RNAcentral
CCUACGGGAGGCUGCAGUGAGGAAUAUUGGUCAAUGGACGAGAGUCUGAACCAGCCAAGUAGCGUGAAGGAUGACUGCCCUAUGGGUUGUAAACUUCUUUUAUCUGGGAAUAAAAUGUUCCACGUGUGGGUUUUUGUAUGUACCAUAUGAAUAAGGAUCGGCUAACUCCGUGCCAGCAGCCGCGGUAAUACGGAGGAUCCGAGCGUUAUCCGGAUUUAUUGGGUUUAAAGGGAGCGUAGGUGGAUUGUUAAGUCAGUUGUGAAAGUUUGCGGCUCAACCUUAAAAUUGCAGUUGAAACUGGCAGUCUUGAGUACAGUAGAGGUGGGCGGAAGUCGUGGUGUAGCGGUGAAAUGCUUAGAUAUCACGAAGAACUCCGAUUGCGAAGGCAGCUCACUGGACUGCAACUGACACUGAGGCUCGAAAGUGUGGGUAUCAAACAGGAUUAGAUACCCGAGUAGUC